This is a long non-coding RNA of Callithrix jacchus (white-tufted-ear marmoset), 10301 nucleotides long. RefSeq lists it as uncharacterized. The record is from RefSeq and is a predicted model, not a curated record. NCBI's taxonomy places the organism in Eukaryota, Metazoa, Chordata, Mammalia, Primates, Cebidae.
UCUUGUUGCCCAGGCUGGAGUGCAGUGGCACAGUAUCAGCUCACUGCAACCUCCACCUCCCAGGUUUAAGCAAUUCUCCUGCCUAAGCCUCACAAGUAGCUGGGAGUACAGGUUCCCGCCACCACACCUGGCUAAUUUUUUUUUGUAUUUUUAGUAGAAACAGGGUUUCACUGUGUUGAUCAGCCUGACCUCAGGUGAUCUGCCCACCUCAGCCUCCCAAAGUGCCCAGCCUCAUAAAUGCUUUUCUCAGUACAUGCCAUCACCAUGCACUCAAAUCAAGAAAGACCAGGCACAGUGGCUCAUGCCUGUAAUUCCAGCACUUCGGGAGAGCGAGGCAGAAGGAUUGCUUGAAUGCAGGAGUUCAAGACCAGUCAGGGCAACAUGGCAAGAACCUGUAUCUACAAAAAAUUUAAAAAUUAGCUGAGCGAGGCCAGGCACAGUGGCUCAUGCCUGUACUCCUAGCACUUUAGGAGGCCAAAGUGGGUGGAUCACCUGAGGUCAGGAGUUAGAGACCAGCCUGGUCAACAUGGAAAAAUCCCAUCUCUACUGAAAACACAAAAUUAGCCAGGUGUGGUGGUACAUGCCUGUAAUCCCAGCUACUCAGGAGGCUGAGGCAGGAAAAUUGCUUGAACCCAGGAGGCAGAGGUUGCAGUGAGCCAAGAUUGUGCCAUUGUGCUCCAGCCUGGGCAACAAGAGCACAACUCUGUCUCAAAAAAAAAAAAAAAAAAAAUUAGCUGAGUGUGGUGGUGCAUGCCUGUGGACCCAGGUAUUUGGGAAACUGAGGCCGGAGGAUCGAUUGAGCCCAGGAGGUAGAGGCUACACUGAGCAGCAUUUGCACCACGUAUUCCAACCUGAGCAACAGAGGGAGAUCCUGUCUCAAAAAAAGGAAAAAGAAAGAAGGAAAGAAAGCAGGUUGUUGCCCUUGUCUUUGCACAUUCACUUUAGACACACCGGCCAGCAGGUCUUGUGAUUUUACCUUCGAAAUAUGUUCUUCUGUACAUUCUUUUGCCCAAUGCCAAGAGAAUAGGUGACUGGUUUUAGCAACUUGGAAGCUGUGAGUGACCUUGAAAAAACUUUUCAGGGUUGCUGAGUAGGAAAAAACCAAGCUAUGAAGGGUUGAAGAAAGGCUGAGAGGUGAAGGAUGCAAUCUGCAUGUCAUGACAUCUCUUUCAAGAAGUUUGGUGGUAAGGGGAAGGUCUCCAAGCACACCUUGUGAUUUCAAUUAUCAUGCUGUUUUCCUUUGAUAGGGAUGUGCUUCUUACCUUUCUCAUUCAAGUACCCCACCUGUCUUUCAGACUCAACUCAAGCAUCACUCCCUGAACCUCAGGUUCUCCCGUCUGGACACCCACAGCCCUUGGAUGUCCCUGCAUCACAGCACCGAUCAUGCUAUCUUCCCACUGUGUACCUGUGCAUGUACGUCUCUCCCAUCAGACCGGGAGACACCUGUGAGGGCAGAGACUGGGUCUAAUCAGAUCUGAAUGGAACAUGGCAGGCAUGAAGAAUACCUCAGAAUGAUGAGCUGGGAGUCCCAGACCUGCCACUGAUGAGUUGAGUGACCCUGAUCAAGUUAGGUAACCUCUCCAAGACACUGAGGAUCUAACGAUGUCACAUCUAUACAACUUGGUAGCCCAAGCACUUGUAGGCUUAGUGAUUCUGCACAUCAGAAUCAUCAGGAGACAAUUUAUUUAUUUGGACAAUUUGGAGAUAGAUUUUUUUUUUUUGAGAUGAAGUCUUACUCUGUUGCCUAGACUGGAGUACAGUGGCGUGAUCUUGGCUCAUUGCAACCUCUGCCUCCCGAGUUCAGCCUCCUGAGUAGCUGGGAUUACAGGUGCCUGCCAUGAUGUCUUGCUAACUUUAGUACUUUUAGUGGAGAUGGAGUUUCACCAUGUUGGCCAGGCUGGUCUCGAACUCUUGACCUCAAGUGAUCCACCCACCUCAGCCUUCCAAAGUGCUGGGAUUACAGCCAUCAGCCACUGUGCCCAGCCAGGAGACUGGUUCAAACUACAGGUUUCCUAGGUCUAGGCCCCAUGCUAGAUCUCUGAAAUUAGGACAUCCAGAGGUAGGACAUGAAUACUUGUUGUUAUUGCUUGUAAGUUCCUAAGCAAUCCUGAUACACAGCCACACUGAGCCCCACUGUGUAAGAAGAGCUCCCAGUUGACUGUAAGAUCACAGGUACUCUCACUUAAGCCCCUUCCUGCAACCUACCCCAUGCCAGGCCCUGUGCUGAGCACAGGGACAAAGAAAAGAUUCAGGCUGAAAUCCUGCCUUCAAGAAAUAUUCAGGGUAAGUGAAGACAGACCUAGACUAAAUUAGACUAUGUAGUAGUAUUGCUAUAAAAGAAGUUUGUACUCCUUACUUCCUUCCUUUGCUCACCCAGUGAACAUUCCCUGAGCCCCACUGUGUAAGAAGGGUCAGCAUAGACUCCCCAUCACUGAGCACUAAUUAAGCAUGUGCCAUACACCUAGCCUUGUGCCAAGCUCCAUAGAGGCAGUGCAAUCAGGCGUGGUCCUUGCCUUGGAGGAAGUUCUAGGCCUUAUGGAAGACUACAGCCAGGAAUAAACCAGCUCUGAAACCAGGCAGAUCAAAGAAAGUACUAAGCCUUAGUGCCACUAGGCUGUGGGAGGGAAUGAUAAUGCUGAUGGUCUGGGAAGUCCCCACUGAGGAGGUGGGCCUUACAGGAUGGGUAUCAGUUUGUCAGGUGAAUGAGGAAACAGGUCUCACUGGCAGAGGGAACAGCAUGUGCAAAGGUUGGCAGAGGGAAAAGGUCUGGUGUGGCUGGGAGCAGAGGGUACAGCAGAGCAGUUGGUUGGUGUCCUGUGGGUGACAGGGAGCCAUGGAAUGUUUGUCACAGGGAAGGGAUGUGACUAGGCUGGGUUUUGGAGGCUCAUCCUGGUGGCCAGUGUGGAGGCAGGGAGGGCCGAGCCAGCACUUACCCAGAUCCGCCUCUCAACCUUACAGGGGCUCCACGAGCGGGUCACACACCUGACCUUGGAGCAAACCCGGCGGCUCCUGGGAGGGACGGUGGCUCCAGCUGGGGCCUGCUCAAGCCACAGAAACCCAAGAAGGGGGAGGGAGGGGGUGUCAGAGGCCCUCUACACCUGAAGAGACUCAGAGCUCUUUUCAGACCCUACCAGAGCCCUCCGUCAGCUGGGCUGUGGCAGGGAGUGUCCUCUUUCUCCUCAGCUCUCAUGGUAACAGGGGAGGCUCAGAGAAGGCUGAUGACUGCCAAAGUUACACAGAAAAGGACAAGUAGUCUCUUUCCAGAAUUAGCCCACCCUCCCCUAUUUCAUGCUGCUGGGGUUUCCAGUCUCCAGGGAGGACAGGGUGACUCCCAUCUGUCCUCUAGCCCACCUGGUCCGCUUCACCCCCAGCCUCGUCCCUGGCUAUGGCCCCAGGCCCUGUGUUCCCAGUAAACUGGUGUUAGGGGCUCCUGGAGCCUCCACCCGGAGUGAGGUAUGAAUUGCAGCAUGUCAGAGGACAAAGAGCAGGUCAUUCCCACACAGGCUACAGAGAGAAGCCCAUAUACACAGAGGUGAACACACAGAGACAAGCAGACACACGCCCCUACUCUAGUAAGCCCAGGCCCAGAGGGAUGUGUGUAUGUGGAAUAUGGGAGAUAGAACAGAGGUCGGAGCAGAGAGAAGGGUCAGGAGAGCCACAGAAGAUGGUCAGGAGAGCCACAGGAGGUGGACAGGCAGAGAAAGACGAGGCCGCUUCAUAGAGUCACAGAGUGCAGAUGGUCGCCCGUGCUUCCUUCCCUCGACCUCUCUUUGGUGGAACUGAUUCGACCCACAUAAAGAAGCUUUGGAGCUCAGAGCCAAGGUAGCCCAACUGGGGACCCUCCACCCGGCAGACUACUGCUAUAACCUCCUUACUCCCAGCUUCCUCCAAUUCACCCGCCACUUGGAAGCCUGAGUCUGUCCCCCAAAAUCUGACCUCAGCCCUCACUGCUGAAUGCCCUUUUUUGCUCCCUACAGGCCUCAGGAAAAGUCCAUUUCCUACAACUGGACUUUGAAGCCCAUAGUGAGCUGGCCCCGAUGACCUCAGAGGUCACUCUCCUGUUUUAUUCACCCCAUGAAUUGCUCUCCAGCCAAGCAGACUCUGGGCCCUUAGACACAUGCAUAUGUGCACACAUACUUGUGCACACACACACAUGCACACAUCACUUCUCUGUCCCUGCUCAUGCAGUUACUUCUGCAGAUAAUGUGCUCCUCUCAGAAUAUCACUGACCUAGGUUCCAUGAUAGGCUUUUCCACUGACUUAAGACUAUAAGCUUUGGACAAGUCACCUGCCCUCUCUGAACCUCGGCUUCCUUAUCUAUAAAAUGGGACUAAAUACCAACCUCCACCCACCUGCCCUGCCAGGGUUGUUGGAAGAUGAAAUGUCACUGAUGCCAGGGGCUUAGCAUGAUGCCUGGCCCUCAGCAGGUGGAUGCCUGAGGGGGUUUCUAAAUGCAUCCAGGUCUCCCCUGCUGCUUCCCAGUGGACUUUCUCUGUAGGUGAGCAGGGCCUCCAUUGUGCCACACAUAGAAAGAGCAAGCACAGAUUCUGGAGUCAGGCAGAUGGGAGUGGAGGCCAAGAUGGGCCUUGGGUGGCUCUUGAAACCCUCACCUCCAUCAGUCACAAGCUCUGUUGACUCCAUCCCCUAAAUAUGUCCUGUACUUGUCAGCCUGUCUCGGCCAGCAAGGCCUUAGUCCAGAUCUCCAGUCUGUUGUCUGGACAGUGUCCCAGCCUCCUAACUGGCCUCUAGGUGUCUGCAGUUGCCCUCUACAAUGCUUUCCCUACCUACCAGCCAGAUUAUCUUUUUUUCUUUUUUCCAUAACAAAAUUUCAUAAACUGACAGACUACUCUUUGUUGUUUACAUGCCAAAUGUUACAAGUGUCUUUUUAUCUUUUUUUUUGAGAUGGAAUUUUGCUCUUGUUGCCCAGGCUGGAGUGCAAUGGUACAGUCUCAGCUCGCUGAAACCUCCACCUCCUGGGUUCAAGCAAUUCUCCUGACUCAGCCUCCCAAGUAGCUAGGAUUACAGGCAUGUGCCACCAUACCUGGCUAAUUUUUGUAUUUUUAGUAGAGACAGGGUUUCUCCAUGUUGGUCUGGCUGGUCUUGAACUCCCAACCUCAGAUGAUUAGCCUGCCUCUGCCUCUCAAAGUUCUGGGAUUACAGGCAUGAGUCACUGCACCUGGCCAACAAGUAUCUUUUUAAAAAUAUAAAUUUAACCUGAUCUGAUCAUGCCAUCCCUCUGCUCAAAAACUUUUCAUGGCACCCUGGUGCUCUUAGCAGAAACCAACAUCCUUCAUAUAGCCCACAAGGCCCGGUCCUGCCAACCCUCCUUCCCCACUUCCCCACUUCCCCACUCACUCCUUAAGCACCAGCUACUCCAGCUGUCCUUCUGUUCCUCAACUUGCCAACAUCUUAACUUCUCUUAGAGCCUUUGCACAUGCUGAUCCCUCUGGCUGGAAUGCUGCUUAGCAAAGGGGAUUCAGGGAAUGCUGAAUUCCCUUUACCUUAGCCCCACACUUUUCACCCGGUCAAUUUCUGUUUAUCCUUCAGUUCUCAGUUUAAGCCUCGCCUGAACUACCACCUGGAUGAAAGGGCCAGACACUGCAAAUCCCUGUCAGAGCCCUUAUUACUAUUAAAAUGGAAUAAUUAAUCGUUUCAUGUCUGGCUCCUCACUAGGCUGAGUACAGGAGGGCAGAGCCCGCAUCCCCUUGGUUCACCCCUGAUCGCUGGCACUUGGCACAGCACCUGGCCCAUAGUAGGAGCUCACUAAAUCUUUGUUGUGCUGAUGAAUGAGUUUCAGUCUUACAGGGAGAGAACAAUAACCCCAACCUUACAGGACUGUUGUGAGGAGCAGCUGGAAUGGUACCUGCACCAUGCCUGGCACAUAACAGUUGCUUGAUAAAAGACAGUUCCUUUUCCCCAGCUCACAUGCCACUCCCUCCAGCAAGUCUCCAUGGAGGCUUCUCUCUCUCCUCCGAGCACCAGUUGGCUGUCCCCUAUCCUUUCCCACUUGGGACUUAGGCAUCAGAGUCUACGCAAACACAUGAGACUGAGAACUUCUGGCAGGUGGGGACCGAGUCUGAGUCACUCAUGAUUCCAUGGCACAUAGAGGUGGUGGGGAGAAGGUGAGAGAAUGGGGGACUCACCGGGGUGGAGUUUGCCUCCAGCAGCGCUGUCUUCCAUGCUCUGCAAAGCAAAUCCCAUCAGAGUAUGAGGAGGGAGUUUGGGGGUAGGGAAAUUGGGCCCCUACAUUUUAGAUUUUCCUCUUCAACCCAGCCUCAAGCCCGUCUCUCAUGAAAGGAGAGAUCUCUUGUCUCUCUCAGGAAGACAAAGGUGACCCCUCCCCUGCCCCAGUCACAUGGAUGGAACACUAAGUGAGCCUAAUUUCAUUCUUCUUGUCUCCUCUAGAAGUUCCAGUUUCCUCAUCUACACAGUUGAUGGUGGGGCUUGGGUGGUCUCUCAGAGGAUGUCAGAUUUUGACACUCCUGGGUGGGUGCUCUAGCCGCAGCCCCCCUCACACCCCAAAUCUACAAACAAAACAGUUCCCCAAAGCUCUGACCCCAGAGUCCCAGGAAGGCCCAGCAGACACGGGACAAUUGGGCCUUUGUUGGUUGCCAUGGCACCUGCUGGGUUGGACAAGGCAGCUCUGUGCUGUCUGCCUGGAGCUCAGCUUCCCUACUCCCACACACCCAUCUCUUUCACUCUCCUCCAGCGCAAAGGCCAGGCACCCCUCAGCCAGAGGGUAGGAAGGGAUGGUAUGUGAGUAAGCGGACGGUGCCUGAGGAGGACACACCCAGGCUGGCCGUGUGGAUAUGCAUCUGACAUUGGAGUACCCCUGCCUGGGACAUAGCUGACUGCCUUUGUAGGCAGGUCUGGGGCUACCCUUCAGAUCAGAGUCCACCAGAAGCGCAGGGCAUCUUCUCAGAGGGGAGCAAGGGUGCCACUAGGCUGCCCUGCUGCUUUGCAUCACCCUUGGUGAGGGCUCACCUCAGAGGCUGCUAAAGACCAGGAACCAGACACCUGAGGCAGGUGUGCAUACCUCUCCUCAGCAAUCCCGAGUUCAUCUGAGACCACAUGAGGAGUCCACUGUGUGCCAUACCAAUCAACCAUGAGCCCUCCAAAUCCACUCCACCCACCUCCAAUUAGACACCCUUGCUGACUGGCUUCAGUGCCCUCUUCCUACUGUCAGAGAGUCAGAAGGCCCAAUGAGAAGGGGGUGCAUCGUCACUUUCUCGAGAUUCCACCCCAUCCUCUCCUGAGAGUGACUCACAGGGCAUCAUCCUUGGUCUCUGCACAUAGGUGCAGGCGGGAGCCUUCCCGUAGGUUCACAGUGAGCAGGCCAUCUCGGCUCCGGCCCUCUGGGGGCUGCACAUCUGGAAGCAGACACAUAUAUAUGGGUUUCCACAGGCACAAGCCCCAGGUCCCCCCAGUAAACCAGGAACAGGAAUAGGAACUGACUUCUUUGGGCUAUUUACUGGCCAUUGCCAACCUCCUCCGAUCCCAUAUCCUCUCUCAGGGAUUCUACUCUAUGAUACCAAACUUUCCAACCUUUCCAUGCUGAUGCUUCCCUCAGCAUACCUCCCAGUUACCCUGUUACAACUGUGGCCUGAGCCUUGGGGGAGGAAUGUGAAGAUUUGCUGUGACUCUGGGCCACUUAGCUACUCUAAGCCUCCUAAUUUCAUUUCAUCUUCAUCCAGUAACUAGCGCCUGGAGGGCAGGAACUGCUCCUGACUCACCUCUGAGACACAGCACAGAGGAGAAAGGCACUAAAGGACUGAUUUCUCUUUUCCUUGCUUUCUUUCUUUCUUUUUCUCUUUCUUUCUUUUUUUUCUUCUCUCUUCUUUUCUUUCUUUUUCUCUCUUUCUCUCUUUCUUUCUCUCUGUCUGUCUGUCUGUCUGUCUGUCUAGCUCUGUCCCCCAGGCUGUAGUAUAGUACCAUGAACACUCACUGCAACCUCUGCCUUCCAGGCUCAAGCAAUCCUCCCACCUCAGCCUCUUGAGUAGCUGGGACCACAGGCACACACUACCAUACCCGGCUAACUUUUGUUUGUUUUUGUUUUGGUAAAGAUGGGGUUUUGCCAUGUUGCCCAAGCUGGUCUUAAACUCCCAGACUCAAGUGAUCCACAUGCCUCAGCCUCUCAAAGUACUGGGAUCAUAGCUCACUGCAGCCUUGAACUCCUGGGCUCAAGCACUUCUCCUGCCUUGACCUCCCAAGUAAGCAUAUGUGACCACAUCUCACCAUUUUUUUUUUUAGAGACAUGGUCUUGCUACCCAGGCUGGUCUAGAACCCCUGACCUCAAGUGAUCCUCCUACUUCAGCCUCCCAGAGUGCUGAAAUUACAGGCAUGAGUCACCACACACAGCCAAGGACCUAUUUCUUAACUCACACCAAACUAAAUUGGAGUUGACAGAGGCUUAGAAGCAACAUCUGGGAAAUGCCUCUGAAAGCUGCAAAGAGGCUUCCAACUGCAGGUAUUCUCAGACACAGGGGUAGGGCUCUGCCCACAGUCACAGUGCCACAGAGGAAGGGGCUUCUGCUCACCGUGGCACUCUUGGCCGAUCUUUAUGUCACGGACAUUGAAGUGGAUGAGCACACGGUCCUCCUCGUCCUGCGCUGUCUCAUCAUGGUAGUAUCCCAGAGUUCCGUCCAUCCACAGGGCAAACCAGUUUCGCUUCCAGCGGCGGAGAAUGGAGCCUGUACAAUAUUCCAGAUGCACUAGGCAGGCUGGUCCCAGAGCCUGCUGGUGAUAGGAGCCCCAGACAGGCUCCCAAGUCCCCUCAGCCUCAGUCCCUAGUGUUAUAACCACCUUUUUCUUGUGUAUCUACUCCAUGAGGGCAGGACCUCUUUCUCUCUUGCUCACUGCCUACCUCCCAUUGGGCCUGAUGCAUAGUAGAGGCUCAAUAAAUUCGUUGAAUGGGGAAAUGAGUAAUGGGGCCCAUUGCUUGGGAGCUUCUAAGGCCAAGCUCCAGGUCUUUUCAAGGGCAAAGACCUCUCCCUACCUUGAGCCUCCAUCUUCUCUCUCUCUCUCUUUUUUGAGAUAGGGUCUUGCUCUGUCACCCAGGCUGGAGUGCAGUGGUGCAAACAUGGAUCACAGCAGCAAGUGAUCCUCCCACUUCAGCCUCCUAAAUAGCUGGGUCAUCAGGCAUGCACCACUGCACCUGGCUGAUUUUUAAUUUUUGGUAGAGAUAGUGGGUCUCACCAUGUUGUCCAGGCUAGUAUCAAAUUCCUGGGCUCAAGCGAUCCUCCCAGCUCAGCCUCCCAAAGUGAUGGGAUUACAGGUGUGAGCCAGUGCGCCAGCCUCUUAUCGCUCAUCCCUGACUCAUGUGAUGGUUAUUUGUGUAGCCUCUGCCUCCUGUACCAAACUGGGAGUUGCAGCUCCCCACACAGGUCCUGGAACCUGGGGAGACCUGUGCUCAGUGUUUGCUGAAUGGAAUGAACUGAGAAUGGACAGGGGGAUGGGGCAUGGGGCUGCCUGUCCCAGGGGUCCCAGGAUGAUUCUGGUCAGAGGUGGGUCUGGAAGCCUGACACCUAGCUUCAGACAUUUUGCAACUGGAAAUCUUAACAGGGAAGGGCAAAGACAUAAGAGAACUUCUGAGGGCUUUGUGGAUUCCAAAGCACAGAGGCAGUUUUCACUUUGUUCUGUACAUUGUUCUAUGUCCAGCCUGGGGUUGGGGGACUGUGGACACACAGAGGGUCAAACCCAGCCCCUGCCCUUGAGAAGCUCGCAGACUGGGGGCAGUCGGGUCAGGGAGUAGGGAGACCCACAGAUAAAGACAGUUCUGUUAUAAGGAGAUCACUGUAAGGCACGGUGGGAACCAAGAAGGGAGCCUCUAAUCCAGCUUGACACUACCGCAGGGGCAGGGGUGGGGGCUGGAGGAAAAGCCAAGGAAGGCUCCUCAGGGAGGGGCCCAUCUGAGAUGAGUGGUGAAGAACAAGUGGAAGUUUACCACUCAGUCAGGAAUGGGAAAGACCUUCAAGCAGAGGAAAGAGUGUGGUCAGAGGAAAGGAUGAAAACAUCCUGGCUUCUUGGGAGAAGGGUUCCCCGUGGCAAGCCCAGUAAGUCACUUCUCUCACCCUGCCCCAGGACCAGGGGCCCAGGAUCACUCACUCUGUCUCCACAGCCAGCCGCCCCUCAGCAGGGCCAUUUCUUCAAAAGGACUUUCCAGGGCGGAGUCAGGCGGGACCUGUCAGAGGAGCCACAGGAGACAGGCCUCAGCAGCAACUCCCUGGAGAGAAGCCCCCAGCCCUGCCGUCCCCAGGGGAACCACCCAGGAAACGUUUGAAGGAGGGUUAGUAAAAAAACAA